CACACGACUCUCGGCAACGGAUAUCUCGGCUCUCGCAUCGAUGAAAAACGUAGCGAAAUGCGAUACCUGGUGUGAAUUGCAGAAUCCCGCGAACCAUCGAGUCUUUGAACGCAAGUUGCGCCCGAGGCCCUCGGGCCGAGGGCACGCCUGCCUGGGCGUCACGC
Molecule: ribosomal RNA, 164 nt
Filed under: Chimonobambusa tumidissinoda
Lineage: Eukaryota; Viridiplantae; Streptophyta; Magnoliopsida; Poales; Poaceae
Description: 5.8S ribosomal RNA
Rfam family: 5.8S ribosomal RNA
About the family: 5.8S ribosomal RNA (5.8S rRNA) is a component of the large subunit of the eukaryotic ribosome. It is transcribed by RNA polymerase I as part of the 45S precursor that also contains 18S and 28S rRNA.
Source: RNAcentral